This 881-nucleotide ribosomal RNA is filed under the name Quixadomyces hongheensis. RNAcentral's name for it is "Quixadomyces sp. DNW-2020a partial large subunit ribosomal RNA". It matches the Rfam family "Eukaryotic large subunit ribosomal RNA", at positions 102 to 1003 of the family's 3401-position model. Lineage: Eukaryota; Fungi; Ascomycota; Dothideomycetes; Pleosporales; Parapyrenochaetaceae. The record is from RNAcentral.
CAACAGCUCAAAUUUGAAAUCUGGCUCUUUCAGAGUCCGAGUUGUAAUUUGCAGAGGGCGCUUUGGCGUUGGCAGCGGUCCAAGUUCCUUGGAACAGGACGUCACAGAGGGUGAGAAUCCCGUACGUGGUCGCUGGCCUUCGCCGUGUAAAGCCCCUUCGACGAGUCGAGUUGUUUGGGAAUGCAGCUCUAAAUGGGAGGUAAAUUUCUUCUAAAGCUAAAUACUGGCCAGAGACCGAUAGCGCACAAGUAGAGUGAUCGAAAGAUGAAAAGCACUUUGGAAAGAGAGUCAAAUAGCACGUGAAAUUGUUGAAAGGGAAGCGCUUGCAGCCAGACUUGCCUGUAGUUGCUCAUCCGGGCUUUUGCCCGGUGCACUCUUCUGUAGGCAGGCCAGCAUCAGUUUGGACGGUUGGAUAAAGGACUCUGUCACGUACCUCCUCUCGGGGAGGCCUUAUAGGGGAGUCGUCAUGCAACCAGUCUGGACUGAGGUCCGCGCAUCUGCUAGGAUGCUGGCGUAAUGGCUGUAAGCGGCCCGUCUUGAAACACGGACCAAGGAGUCUAACAUCUAUGCGAGUGUUUGGGUGUCAAGCCCGAGCGCGCAAUGAAAGUGAACGGAGGUGGGACCCCGUAAGGGUGCACCAUCGACCGAUCCUGAUGUCUUCGGAUGGAUUUGAGUAAGAGCAUGGCUGUUGGGACCCGAAAGAUGGUGAACUAUGCUUGAAUAGGGUGAAGCCAGAGGAAACUCUGGUGGAGGCUCGCAGCGGUUCUGACGUGCAAAUCGAUCGUCAAAUUUGGGCAUAGGGGCGAAAGACUAAUCGAACUAUCUAGUAGCUGGUUCCUGCCGAAGUUUCCCUCAGGAUAGCAGUAACGUAUUCAGUUUUA